Molecule: ribosomal RNA, 17 nt
Filed under: Hypopterygium tamarisci
Lineage: Eukaryota; Viridiplantae; Streptophyta; Bryopsida; Hookeriales; Hypopterygiaceae
Also listed under: 3 other names
Description: partial 18S ribosomal RNA
Source: RNAcentral
GGAUCAUUGCACACACA